Long non-coding RNA from Lactuca sativa (garden lettuce), 1290 nucleotides. RefSeq lists it as uncharacterized. NCBI's taxonomy places the organism in Eukaryota, Viridiplantae, Streptophyta, Magnoliopsida, Asterales, Asteraceae. The record is from RefSeq and is a predicted model, not a curated record.
AAAAAUGUGCACUUUACAGAAAGUUUAUUUCUUGAAUCCGACCCAAAUGGCGUAGUAUUGCGUUUCUCCUCAAUUUGUAUUUAAAGACUAAGUAUUAGUAUUGUAAUUAGGAAAUCGAGAAACAAAAAGCAUACGAAAGAAGUGGGCCCGUUUAGCAAAGACCACAUGAUAACGAAAGGGACUUCUUUAAACUUUGAACCAGAAUGUGGGCCCCAUGUAAGUCACGGUCUUGGUGAGCUGUUUCAUAGUCAUGGUUUUGUGGGUUGGGCUGUUUCUGAGACAUUCGGCGGCUGGCAGGUGGCGACUUGGGUUAGUGGGUGUGGUAGCUUCAGCUUCGUGGGUCGACUACUCCUACCUCUAUCAUCAUCACAAUCGACUGCCUACCAUUGCACAACAUUGUCCAGCCACCACUCUUGCCUCUACUACCGACUACCCGUCCUUCUCGUAGAGGUCAUCUAGUCUCUUCUUCAACAAUCUUCACCGUGGAUUGGAAUUUCAGUACAUUUUAUUCCCUCUUCCCAUGGUUAAGCGCUCCGUCUUUUGUUUUCAAUUUUGUUAUUCUUGUUUUCAAUUUCUCUGGAAGAGUCGAUGACUUUUGAAUCCUCAUAUAGCACUAACAUGGACUUAACUUCUACUGUAAACCAACUUGUUUUUUCCCUCACUAAUGUGUAUUCACAGUUUAGCUUUAAGCUGUCGGUUGAUGACUCGAAAUACAAAUAACGGCGUCAUAUUUUUCUUGACAUGUGCAAAGGUGAUAAAGUUCAUGACCAUAUUACUGGAGAAUACCAACCUCAAGAUCAUAUGUAGCGACAAACUGUAUCCCUAAGGACUUAUGUGACAAGCUCGAUGAAUUUUUCCUCAACAACAAGAUGUCUUGAAUGCUUCAAUAUUCGCAACACCAAGAAAGGUGCUUUCCCCAUUACUAUUUUUUCUACUCUUUGAAGAACUUAGUCGGUGCACUAGCAGACUGUGACUCCAAAAAUAAUGAAGUGGAACUAGUAAUGCAAAUUCUUCGUUAAUUUCCAUCAUUCUAUCAUAGAGUUGUCAAUGUCAUUACCAAUAUAAAGUCGUUUAUAUCGUUUCUUGAGGCUAAAACACGUUUCUUUGCAACUCUGUGAUUUUUCACCUCAUUUUAUUUUAUUUUUAAAAGAACAUUUUGACAGAAUACAUUAGUGGAAGUCUUAUUUAACACUUAUGUUGAAAACAUCACCAACUUUACUUUAUUCUAAAAAAUGACCCUCAUUAAAGUUAAAGUUUGCAAAAACCAACAAUAUAUGAAAACUCAAACAA